GACAGAGGUGCCAAGCGUUAGGCGGAAUCACUGGGCUUAAAGCGUGUGUAGGCGGACUUCUAAGUGCCUUGUGAAAUCCCACGGCUCACCCGUGGAACUGCUGGGCAUACUGGGAGUCUUGAGCCACCUAGGGGCGAGCGGAACAAAUGGUGGAGCGGUGAAAUGCGUAGAUAUCAUUUGGAACGCCAACGGAGAAAUCAGCUCGCUGGGGGUGUGCUGACGCUGAGACACGAAAGCCAGGGGAGCGAACGGG
RNAcentral lists this ribosomal RNA (253 nucleotides) under uncultured bacterium. RNAcentral describes it as "partial 16S ribosomal RNA". It matches the Rfam family "Bacterial small subunit ribosomal RNA", at positions 524 to 776 of the family's 1533-position model. The record is from RNAcentral.